GGGAGGCUUUGAAGUGUGGACGCCAGUCUGCAUGGAGCCGACCUUGAAAUACCACCCUUUAAUGUUUGAUGUUCUAACGUGGACCCGUGAUCCGGGUUGCGGACAGUGUCUGGUGGGUAGUUUGACUGGGGCGGUCUCCUCCUAAAGAGUAACGGAGGAGCACGAAGGUUGGCUAAUCCUGGUCGGACAUCAGGAGGUUAGUGCAAUGGCAUAAGCCAGCUUGACUGCGAGCGUGACGGCGCGAGCAGGUGCGAAAGCAGGUCAUAGUGAUCCGGUGGUUCUGAAUGGAAGGGCCAUCGCUCAACGGAUAAAAGGUACUCCGGGGAUAACAGGCUGAUACCGCCCAAGAGUUCAUAUCGACGGCGGUGUUUGGCACCUCGAUGUCGGCUCAUCACAUCCUGGGGCUGAAGUAGGUCCCAAGGGUAUGGCUGUUCGCCAUUUAAAGUGGUACGCGAGCUGGG
RNAcentral lists this ribosomal RNA (461 nucleotides) under Shigella flexneri. RNAcentral describes it as "bacterial LSU rRNA". It matches the Rfam family "Bacterial large subunit ribosomal RNA", at positions 2149 to 2609 of the family's 2925-position model. Lineage: Bacteria; Pseudomonadati; Pseudomonadota; Gammaproteobacteria; Enterobacterales; Enterobacteriaceae. The record is from RNAcentral.